RNAcentral lists this ribosomal RNA (496 nucleotides) under uncultured bacterium. Its description in RNAcentral is "partial 16S ribosomal RNA". It matches the Rfam family "Bacterial small subunit ribosomal RNA", at positions 29 to 507 of the family's 1533-position model. The record is from RNAcentral.
AUGCACUCUGGCGGCGUGCCUAAUACAUGCAAGUCGAGCGAACAGAUGAGGAGCUUGCUCCUCUGACGUUAGCGGCGGACGGGUGAGUAACACGUGGAUAACCUACCUAUAAGACUGGGAUAACUUCGGGAAACCGGAGCUAAUACCGGAUAAUAUAUUGAACCGCAUGGUUCAAUAGUGAAAGACGGUUUUGCUGUCACUUAUAGAUGGAUCCGCGCCGCAUUAGCUAGUUGGUAAGGUAACGGCUUACCAAGGCAACGAUGCGUAGCCGACCUGAGAGGGUGAUCGGCCACACUGGAACUGAGACACGGUCCAGACUCCUACGGGAGGCAGCAGUAGGGAAUCUUCCGCACUUGUCGAAAGCCUGACGGAGCAACGCCGCGUGAGUGAUGAAGGUCUUCGGAUCGUAAAACUCUGUUAUUAGGGAAGAACAAAUGUGUAAGUAACUCUGCACGUCUUGACGGUACCUAAUCAGAAAGCCACGGCUAACUACGUG